UUGGACGUUGGGCAGGAUUUAUAGGAGCUGGACCGAGGUUGGGUGUUGCUGUGGCAACGUGGGAUUGGGCGUUGCCGGGGGGACAGGCCGAGGUUGGACAUUGACGUGGACUGGUGGGGCUGGGCCGAGGUUGGGUGUUGCUGUGGCAACGUGGGAUUGGGCGUUGCCGGGGGGACAGGCCGAGGUUGGACAUUGACGUGGACUGGUGGGGCUGGGCC
Molecule: non-coding RNA, 218 nt
Organism: Pelodiscus sinensis (Chinese soft-shelled turtle)
Lineage: Eukaryota; Metazoa; Chordata; Testudines; Trionychidae
Source: RefSeq, a predicted model, not a curated record